UCGUCAGUGGCGGACGGGUGAGUAACGCGUAGGAAUCUAUCCUUGAAUGGGGGACAACCGUGGGAAACUACGGCUAAUACCACAUGAUGCCUGAGGGCCAAAGACGAAAGUCGUUUGAGGAGGAGCCUGCGUCUGAUUAGGUAGUUGGUGGGGUAAAGGCCUACCCAAGCCUACGAUCAGUAGCUGGUCUGAGAGGAUGAUCAGCCACAUUGGGACUGAGACACGGCCCAAACUCCUACGGGAGGCAGCAGUGGGGAAUAUUGGACAAUGGGCGCAAGCCUGAUCCAGCAAUGCCGCGUGGGUGAAGAAGGUCUUCGGAUUGUAAAGCCCUUUUGGCGGGGACGAUGAUGACGGUACCCGCAGAAUAAGCUCCGGCUAACUUCGUG
RNAcentral lists this ribosomal RNA (386 nucleotides) under uncultured bacterium. RNAcentral describes it as "bacterial SSU rRNA". It matches the Rfam family "Bacterial small subunit ribosomal RNA", at positions 89 to 507 of the family's 1533-position model. The record is from RNAcentral.